GCCAGUAGUUAUUUUCUGUCCCUUCUUUUUAUUCAUUCGUAAACUCCAUUUACUGUCACUUAGUUUUUUUCCCUUUCGAGAGUAGAUGUUCGAGUUAUCGGCGACCCGUAAAUACUCUUUAAGAAUAUAGGCAGAAAUACUCUUUACUUAAUAAAUGAAAAAUGAUAAAGGAAAAUAGGUGCAGCAAAGGUCGAAUAGGUUGGAAACAAGAUUAGG
RNAcentral lists this unclassified non-coding RNA (216 nucleotides) under Hevea brasiliensis (rubber tree). The record is from RNAcentral. Lineage: Eukaryota; Viridiplantae; Streptophyta; Magnoliopsida; Malpighiales; Euphorbiaceae.